Molecule: long non-coding RNA, 1024 nt
Filed under: Malus domestica (apple)
Lineage: Eukaryota; Viridiplantae; Streptophyta; Magnoliopsida; Rosales; Rosaceae
Description: long non-coding RNA (MDOM_LNC019694)
Source: RNAcentral
UAUUAAACUAGAUUAGUUCAACAUGUGAACUGUCCGUAAAGUAUCAUCAUAUGAUUGGUUUUAGGGCACAUUUCCAACAAACUUGAAAUAAAGAGAAGGGCUUAUGCCCUUUUACAACACAUUUGAUGGACUUAUGUCCAUUUACAACAAAUUUGAACUAAUCAAAUUACAUUCAAAUCUAAACUACUUAACCCAAGCAUUCCCAAUGUAAAGCAGCCAAUCACAUAGCUCAAUUAUCGAGGCCUUUGGUUCAUAAUCACCAUUUUCUUAAUCAAUCAUAUUAACUAAGAAAACAACUUAAACAAUUGGUUUUCGGAUUCAUAGAAUUGAUUUAAAUGGAACUAAAUGAAAUGAAAAUCCAAUUCUCAUUAAAGAGACAAAACCAUUUUGUUCUCAUGAUCUUUUGGGCCGAAAAACAAUGAGCACAACUAUUGGGCCACAAUGUUAAAACAUAAACUUUUGGGGUCACUUUGUAAAAACACAAGAGUCCACAACUUCAUGUAAUUACAACUAGAACCCAAAAAUUUCAACAAUAACAAAAACUUCAUUAAAGGAGCAAAACAAUUUGUCCUUUAGUGAUUUUGGACCUUUACGUAAAAACGUAAACUUUGGGCCAAAGUAUAAAUACACAAAAGCAUCAAAACUUUAUGUAAUUGAAUAAAGGCCCCAAAAGUACCCUACUUUGUAGGGUGGCCGGUUUUGGUAGUGAAAAAGGGGGAAUGAUUUUGGUGAAAAUUCAAAAUUUCAAAGUGUGUUGAAAAAGUGAAAGGUAUCGUUUGAAAAGGUGAUUGGUAUGGUCGAAAAGGUUUGAUUGGUAUGGGUUGUAAGAAAAGGUUAGUCAAACAAUAAAGACACAAAUCAUCCAUCACCAAUCAGUAACAAACUAAAACUUUAUGCAAAGCAACAAACAUAUUGAAUCAAAACACCAAAACUUUUUGUUCUUGGUAAGAACAUCAAGAACAUUGAAUAACACACAUGAAAACUCAUAGGAGCUCCAUGAAUGUUUUCACUCAAUAAAACUCAA